GUAGGUGGCAAGCGUUGUCCGGAAUUAUUGGGCGUAAAGCGCGCGCAGGCGGGGUCCUUUAAGUCUGAUGUGAAAGCCCACGGGCUCAACCGUGGAGGGUCAUUGGAAACUGGGGGACUUGAGUACAGAAGAGGAAAGCGGAAUUCCAAGUGUAGCGGUGAAAUGCGUAGAGAUUUGGAGGAACACCAGUGGCGAAGGCGGCUUUCUGGUCUGUAACUGACGCUGAGGCGCGAAAGCGUGGGGAGCAAACAGGAUUAGAUACCCUGGUAGUCUACGCCGUAAACGAUGAGUGCUAAGUGUUAGGGGGUUUCCGCCCCUUAGUGCUGCAGCUAACGCAUUAAGCACUCCGCCUGGGGAGUACGGCCGCAAAGGCUG
This 375-nucleotide ribosomal RNA is filed under the name uncultured organism. Its description in RNAcentral is "partial 16S ribosomal RNA". It matches the Rfam family "Bacterial small subunit ribosomal RNA", at positions 527 to 896 of the family's 1533-position model. The record is from RNAcentral.